CAGGCAGAGAGCGUGAGCCGGGAAUGGAAAGACCGGUACAAGCGAGGUAGGAGAAGAGUUGGCAAAUCCGCUCUUUAAUCUGAAGACGUGAUGUGGACUGAAAAUAAGUAGGGAAGCACGUGAGCUGACUGUCAAGAAAAGCCGCUAUUGUUUGCAGGAUACCCGUACCGUAAACCGACACAGGUGGAUGAGGAGAGAAUCCUAAGGCCGACGGGAGAAGCAUUGUUAAGGAACUCGGCAAAAUGACUCCGUAACUUCGGGAGAAGGAGUGCCAGUAAGAUGGCCGCAGAGAAUUGGCCCAAGCAACUGUUUAGCAAAAACACAGGUCUAUGCAAAACCGAAAGGUGAGGUAUAUGGGCUGACGCCUGCCCGGUGCUGGAAGGUUAAGGGGAGAGGUUAGCGCAAGCGAAGCUUUGAACUUAAGCCCCAGUAAACGGCGGCCGUAACUAUAACGGUCCUAAGGUAGCGAAAUUCCUUGUCGGGUAAGUUCCGACCCGCACGAAAGGCGUAAUGAUUUGGGCACUGUCUCAACAAUGCACCCGGUGAAAUUGAAAUACCAGUGAAGAUGCUGGUUACCUGCGCCAGGACGGAAAGACCCCAUGGAGCUUUACUCCAGCUUGAUACUGGGAUUCGGUAUUGCAUGUACAGGAUAGGUGGGAGGCUAGGAAAUGGUAACGCCAGUUGCCAUGGAGCCGCUGUUGGGAUACCACCCUUGCAGUACUGGGUUUCUAACCAGCAGCCGUGAUCCGGCUGGGGGACAAUGUCAGGUGGGGAGUUUGACUGGGGCGGUCGCCUCCGAAAGGGUAUCGGAGGCGCUCAAAGGUUCCCUCAGAAUGGUUGGAAACCAUUCGAAGAGUGCAAAGGCAGAAGGGAGCUUGACUGCGACACCGACGGGUGGAGCAGGUACGAAAGUAGGACUUAGUGAUCCGGUGGUAUAAAGUGGGAUUGCCAUCGCUCAACGGAUAAAAGCUACCCUGGGGAUAACAGGCUUAUCACUCCCAAGAGUUCACAUCGACGGAGUGGUUUGGCACCUCGAUGUCGGCUCAUCGCAUCCUGGGGCUGAAGUAGGUCCCAAGGGUUGGGCUGUUCGCCCAUUAAAGCGGUACGCGAGCUGGGUUCAGAACGUCGUGAGACAGUUCGGUCCCUAUCCGGCGUGGGCGUAAGAUAUUUGAGAGGAGCUGUCCUUAGUACGAGAGGACCGGGAUGGACUGGCCGCUGGUGUAUCUGUUGUCUUACCAAAGGCAUAGCAGAGUAGCCAAGCCGGGAAGGGAUAAACGCUGAAGGCAUCUAAGCGUGAAGCCCCCCUCAAGAUGAGAUAUCUCAUAACGUCAAGUUAGUAAGACCCCUUGAAGACGACGAGGUAGAUAGGGCAGAGGUGGAAGUGUGGUAACACAUGGAGCUGACUGUUACUAAUAGGUCGAGGGCAUAACCAA
Molecule: ribosomal RNA, 1433 nt
Filed under: Ruminococcus sp. AM22-14LB
Lineage: Bacteria; Bacillati; Bacillota; Clostridia; Eubacteriales; Oscillospiraceae
Description: bacterial LSU rRNA
Rfam family: Bacterial large subunit ribosomal RNA
Source: RNAcentral